UGCAGAAUGUGAUUCUGGUGCUGACUGUUCAGCUUUGAGUACAGUACCUCUGUAGCCACCUCCUCAUCAAUAUGGAAACUUGCAAAGAUUUUUAUUUAAUGUGUUUUUCAACUAAAAUGAAACAUUAAUCUGAGAAUUCUGCUGGGACAGUGUGGAUAUAUGAGAGAAAGGGGACACAACAGCCCUCCUCAAAUGGAAGAUUUCCAGGUGACAAGCAGCUAGACAAGGAGGGAUGUGAAGCUCAGUCAGAGAGUGAGAAAGACUGCCCCCAAAGCAGCUCCUGCAGGUGAAAUCCCUUCCCAGGUUCCUCAGAUCUACAGGAAUGGAAGACACAAAAUUGGCCUGUUAAGGAGACUCCCAUCAAGAUACAGAAGUAAGUCAACACUUACUGUGUAAUAGCAGAUUUGUUCACUUUCUUCAAUAGGACACAAUGAAGUAAGCCAUAUUUUAGCAGAACUAGUUUUUCACCCAAAGCCAGAAUUCAGACAACUUAAUCACAUACACACAGUCUCCUGGCACACGCAAUUACUUAUGUGCCCAUAACACAGGAGUUAAGGUAGCACUCACACUAACGCUAUUUUCAUUUUUUUUUUCUCUGAGCAGUUGCCUCCUGGUCCAGAGCAUGGAAACCAAGCUGCUCUCUCAGCACAGAGGUCACUUUGGAUAGUCCUUCAUUCUCCCUGGAGCAAGAGCAUUUGAAAGGCAAGUGUGUGAAAUGAAACACUGGAAUGAGACAGCCAGUGCUUCCUACUCCCAGCCUGACCAAUACAAAGACAAGGAAACAUGAACAGCAUUUCUUUAUUUGUACUUCUUGUUUUUCAUCUUUCAGACUGACCCUAAGUUUAUAAAUUUGUAAACAUCCUGAAAUAAGUAAGUAAAAUGAAACAACCAUAUCUGUGGCUUUUGGAACUCAAAAACCAGUUUAUAAAGAUUUACUUUGCACAACCUUUUCUGUUUUCAGAAUGGAUUUUCUACUAACAAAAAGAAAAGACAGAAAAUAAAGGUCCUUUUAUCUACUAAUGGAGGGCUGUUCUCCUCCUUUUUACUGCUGCCUUGAGGUACUGCAAAAGAUUAAUCAUUUUCCUGUUGAAGAGUCAGCAUAAUUUCAAGAAUUUAAUAAUGCAAAACAUAGAACCUCUUUUUAAUGAUCUAAUCACUGUAUUUUUCCAUGAAAAUCUGUGAAUAAAUUAUACUAAAAAUUAA
Coturnix japonica (Japanese quail) is the source of this 1203-nucleotide non-coding RNA. NCBI's taxonomy places the organism in Eukaryota, Metazoa, Chordata, Aves, Galliformes, Phasianidae. The record is from RefSeq and is a predicted model, not a curated record.